GCCGAGACUAGAGUCACAUCUGGACACCACCUGUUGUCCUGGUGUGCUAGAGUACUCGGACAGUAACCACUAAUCUAUAUUCACUGGCUGUGACCGUUCUUGACUCAGUCAGUCACCAGGUUAGUGACAGGA
This is a small nucleolar RNA of Bubo bubo (Eurasian eagle-owl), 132 nucleotides long. NCBI's taxonomy places the organism in Eukaryota, Metazoa, Chordata, Aves, Strigiformes, Strigidae. The record is from Ensembl.